AAGACAACCAGAAACGCAGACUGAACAACCCAAAAAGUACUGCGCAGAAAUAGGCUCAAAACGCUCUAUACUACCCAAGGAUUCCAGAAAACACAACGAGAAGUAAUCGAAAACCGGAAAAAGUGUACGCAGAAACUGCCCCGAAAGGCUCUAUACUACCCAAGGACUCCAGAAAACACAACGAGAAAUAAGCAAAAACCGGAAA
This 205-nucleotide long non-coding RNA is filed under the name Salvia miltiorrhiza (redroot sage). RNAcentral describes it as "long non-coding RNA (SMIL_LNC014241)". The record is from RNAcentral. Lineage: Eukaryota; Viridiplantae; Streptophyta; Magnoliopsida; Lamiales; Lamiaceae.